Molecule: long non-coding RNA, 164 nt
Organism: Ipomoea nil (Japanese morning glory)
Lineage: Eukaryota; Viridiplantae; Streptophyta; Magnoliopsida; Solanales; Convolvulaceae
Exons: 3
Source: RefSeq, a predicted model, not a curated record
UACAACAACACACUCAUUAAUCAAAAGCUAUUAUUGCUCAUUUAUUCCAACUUAAGGUAAUAAAGUCGCGCCUUUGCUACUAGCUAUAGCUUUUGGCGUAACUGGUAAGCGUUUGAUCCUAACAAAUGGUAUUAGAGCCAGGUCACGGGUGAACAGUUAAGAUU